UAUGCUCACACGCCUCCUGUGAGCUCAAAGAAAGAAUCAGAGUACUAGCAUACGUACUUACGUUGGAAGUAGAUCAGUACCACUACUGCUGCUAGUUCAACAGUGCCUCCGAGAUCUAGUUGCUCCGGAGAUUUGUAAAUGGUUCCUUUUGCUGCUCUCACCUCGGCUGCCGUGGGUACUGGUUCCCCCAUCGGUUCGCCAUCACAAUCAUCAUCUUGGUAUGGAAAUUGAUUAACCCGUGUUCUGUGAAGCGGCGCUGGGGAUAGGUACGUACCGUCGUGCUGCGCUAGAACUUGCAACACAGUUUCCCAACCCAACCCAAAGUUAGAAAGAUUGUGUCUCGAGUUCUCAGUCACGUCCUCCCCGCCUUGGAAACGCUCACAAAACUUCUUUGUAAAGCAGGGCGCAAGUGCCUUUUUCUCUCUCUAAAAAAAGCUUCCGUUUCACAAACUUGUUUGGUCCCUGUAAUAAGAACAGCAAAAAUAUCUUUCAUCUCUCCUGCCCAUAUGCGUCGACGAUCCGUAGCAGCAGCACAUCAUAUGAGUAGGACGGAUGUCAAGAUAAAUCUGCAGAGCAGGAGAGAGCUCCACCACAGAAGAAGGCAGAGAAGGCCAGAUCCAUGGAGAUAUUUCUCUGCGCCUCCCAGUUGCGGCCGGCUCGUCGGAGAUGGCCAAGACAUCACCCGAGCCCCGGCGGCGAAGGGAUAGUGCAAGGAUAUUAUUCACGGCCCGGACGGGUCGGUCGCUCGUUUCUGUUUCUUUCUGGGAGAUUUUAUUGACGGCAGCGAAUGGGUGGACGGGUAGGUGCGGGGUGGUUGUCCGUCCGUCCGUCCGCCAUCUGCCGGCCUGAGCGCUCCCUUGGUUUUCACUCCAAGGAUGGGGCUGGUGCGAGGCGAGAGGUUGGUGGUGGCGCCCACGGUCGGGGUUGCCGUGAGAUCAAGGCGCGGAUGAGACCCUCGGGCCCGCGGUCUGGCCCUGCACGAUCCCACUUCUUCUGGGCUCCGGAUCUGAACCGGCCGGCGGGCGACGUGUCGUCCAUCGGGUCCCGGGGCGGACGUACUGGGUGCACGUACACGCUAGGGUGAGUAGGAUGAUGGCGCCGGUCUUAUCCACAAGACCCACCCACCCACCCACCGUCGUGCUGCCCCACCUUCUCCCGCCGUCUCUUCUUUGCUCACUGACCUAAGGCAGCCAGUGGAGUCCGGCCACAGCGCAAACGGCGUGCUUCGUGCCACCAUCAGUCACCACGCAUGGCCGGGCUCGUUCUAUGGUGCGUACCGAACUGAAAGAAAAAUUGGUUUAUGGGCGCCCACACGGCACGGCACGGCACUCUUUGCGUGAACUCGCCGUCCCGGGCACCAACAACACACUUUGUGCUGCCCACGGGAGCAGAAAAAAAUAAUAAAAAGAUGGAAAAGUGUAGCUUAAUGGCAAGCAAACGGACAGCGCACCGGUCAAGAUCUUAUGUACUCCCUCCGCCCGGUAAUAAGUGUAUUUUUUUCUUUUCUGUCAAUCAAACUAGUUAAACUUUGAUUAACUUUAUUGAAAAAGUGCUAGCAUUUAUGACAUCAGAUUAGUAUCAAUAGAUUUGCCUUUACAUGAGGUUUCCAAAUAUAUCAUUUUCAUGCCAUAUAUGUUGCUACUAUUUACUAUAAAAUUGGUCAAAUUUUUUAAAAAUUGACUAAGUACUAAUCUAUAUGUAUGCUUAUUUGUGGACGGAGGGAGUACAUAGUUAUAAUAACUUCAUUUAGUCAAUAAAAUCUUGGUAACACCCACCCACAUAUAUAGGACUUUUAAUUAACGCUCACUCAUUGGGCUGCCCUAUUGCUAGUCAAUGCAAUGGCUUAUAUAUAAUCAACUGACGCCGUGAUGCGUACGUGCAUUGUUUCAUCAUCGUUCUUUUGCAUCAUGAACGGAGUAUUUUCCUUACCAUCAAGUCAACGUGGUACCGUUGUGUAUGUAGGAUCCAACGACCUCAUUAACGAGCGAUCCGGUUUUGGUGUUUGGGUUUUGCAGGAGGGCGGUGCACGCGUCGGCCUACGACAAGAACGUGGACGAGCAGGUGCGCCCGGCCUUCGUGCCGGACGAUGUGAUCGGCGGCGCCGGGAGCCCAGACAAGUACUGGGGCCCUCACCCGACCACCGGCGUCUUCGGCCCGGCCGCGGUCGACCCCAAGCUGUCCGCCAGCCUCGCGGCGCCGGCCAGCGCCGCGAAUGGUGGCGGCGCCUCCGUGCUGGACCAGAAGGUGUGGUUCCGCCCGCUCGAGGACGUCGAGAAGCCCCCCGUCGCCUGAUCGCCGCCGGCGACCACAGCCCAGCUCGACAUCUCUAUCACUCUCCUUAGCUGGGCUCGACCACCUACUUAACUAUUAUCUCUAGUAGCGUGCUUGUGCUAUAGUACAGUCAUGGAAGGCACCAGAAGAAGAACCGGUAGUAGUGACGCGGUGUUGCUGCCUGGAAUAAGAACCUGUGAAAGAUGUGUGAUGAUGAUGACAGUGAUGUG
This 2501-nucleotide long non-coding RNA is filed under the name Hordeum vulgare. RNAcentral's name for it is "long non-coding RNA (HVUL_LNC005554)". Lineage: Eukaryota; Viridiplantae; Streptophyta; Magnoliopsida; Poales; Poaceae. The record is from RNAcentral.